AACAAAAAAAAAAAAAAAAUCCCGAAACGAUCUUAAUAUUGCGAUCAAAUGAAUGGACGGGAGGGGUGAAGCAAAAUGCUGAUGACUAUUAAACUCGUGGGUGCCCGCUUCGACCGGUUUGGGAAAUUAUCAGUUUACUGGAAAACUCCCAACCUGGGCCUCUGAAAGCCUCCCAUUGAUCCCUCGACACGAUUUUCCUCUCGCCCUUAAUUAAAGCGCGCAGCGCAGCGCCCAGAGCGCACUGAGGAGCGGCUGGACCAACUUGUAGCGCCAACAUUUGCAAAAGGCCCUGACUGCAGGGUUUCAGUGAAAUCGAUCACAAAGGAAACAUCACUGAGCAAUCUUCAUUCCACAGUGAAACAGAGAGCACCGGGGAUUCUGCAUGUGUCUGCGAAAAGUGCAACACAGGCACUAGAAAGCAAAGAAGAAGAAGCAGAAGAAGAAAAAGAACAAGGCUCUUUUUGUGCGAGGUGGCUGAGGUUUUUAUCCCUGCGUAGCAGAGUGUUGUCUAGCAUUACAAAUCUCAGCCCCUUUGCAGCCUGGACGGACACGGACAUGGGAGGGCCCUCGCUCUGUCUGCGUCCCUUUCUGCUCCGCCGUGCACAUCAGACCCAGAAGCUGAGGAGACGGGUGGACGGGCUGUUGAAGGAAAAAUAAAAUAAAAGGAAAUGAGGGAAGAAUGGAGGGCUGAGGAAAUAAAGGAAAUGUAUGCGGCUGGCGUAAGGAAGGAAGCAAGGAGGGAAGGAAGGAAGGCAGUAGUUAGUUUCAAGUAGUUGCAUAGGAACAAAAAGACAGUUUGUCUGUGUGAGCCGGCGUGAGCAAAAGACGGAGAAAAAGAGCGGCUACCAGGCGGCCACUGGAGGCGUGAGGAAUGCCCGGCCCUGGCACAGGAGAGCAGGGGUGGAGGUUGGAGUGUGUUCACAGUUCUGCUGCCAAGCUGAGUACAUUCCCACUACAGAGUCAUGGAGACCCUUUAACCUACACAUUUCUGGAGCUGCACUUUUCUGCAGGAGAGGCUCCAGCAGCGCACCUCACAGGGGCUUAUUCUGUAAAAAAAACCUGAAGACCAAGGUAGAGGAUAUACCAAUCAGAGUUAGUUUUUGUUUUGUUUUUUGGGCUGAUACCAGUUUUUGUUUUUCUUUGAGGUCUGACCUUCCAGUUCUGC
Fundulus heteroclitus (mummichog) is the source of this 1165-nucleotide long non-coding RNA. RefSeq lists it as uncharacterized. Lineage: Eukaryota; Metazoa; Chordata; Actinopteri; Cyprinodontiformes; Fundulidae. The record is from RefSeq and is a predicted model, not a curated record. The transcript has 3 exons.